This 493-nucleotide ribosomal RNA is filed under the name uncultured bacterium. RNAcentral describes it as "partial 16S ribosomal RNA". It matches the Rfam family "Bacterial small subunit ribosomal RNA", at positions 29 to 507 of the family's 1533-position model. The record is from RNAcentral.
AGUGAACGCUGGCGGUAGGCCUAACACAUGCAAGUCGAACGGCAGCACAGUAAGAGCUUGCUCUUACGGGUGGCGAGUGGCGGACGGGUGAGGAAUACAUCGGAAUCUACUUUUUCGUGGGGGGAUAACGUAGGGAAACUUACGCUAAUACCGCAUACGACCUACGGGUGAAAGCAGGGGAUCUUCGGACCUUGCGCGAUUGAAUGAGCCGAUGUCGGAUUAGCUAGUUGGCGGGGUAAGGGCCAACCAAGGCGACGAUCCGUAGCUGGUCUGAGAGGAUGAUCAGCCACACUGGAACUGAGACACGGUCCAGACUACUACGGGAGGCAGAAGUGGGGAAUAUUGGACAAUGGGCGCAAGCCUGAUCCAGGCAUACCGCGUGGGUGAAGAAGGCCGUCGGGUUGUAAAGCCCUUUUGUUGGGAAAGAAAAGCAGCAGGUUAAUACCCCGCUGUUCUGACGGUACCCAAAGAAUAAGCACCGGCUAACUUCGUG